Long non-coding RNA from Brachypodium distachyon (stiff brome), 612 nucleotides. RefSeq lists it as uncharacterized. The transcript has 2 exons. NCBI's taxonomy places the organism in Eukaryota, Viridiplantae, Streptophyta, Magnoliopsida, Poales, Poaceae. The record is from RefSeq and is a predicted model, not a curated record.
GGCAGGUCAACGAUAAGUACGGUUUCAACAAUCUAAAGUGACCGGAAGCGAAGAUGGCCAGCUGCAAUCUUCGAGAAAUGCAAUUGGAUAGUCAAUUUCCAUUCAUUUGUGUGCACAGGAAGCUUAUAGUGCAAGCACAAGGGAGGACGUACAAUCUGCCAGGGUGCAGUACACAGAGGAUUCAGCAGUUGCCUUUGCCUAGCCGUCGUGCAUCAAUUUUGUCUGGGCUUAAUUCUCCCAGCAGUAUGAAUGGUAGCAGGUUCCAAAGGAAAUUAUAAAUGCAACCACUCGGGCUAUCAUCUAUUCAUCUUUUCUCAGUGCCACAGGGUUUCAGACUUCUGCUUGAAGACAACACACAGAACUCUAAUACGGAGUACAUAGUUUACUGCAUUUCUCUUUCAAGCAGACUCUAAACAGGUAAACCAUGGAAUUAUGUUCUCAAACUGCAACAGGGCUUAAUGAAAAAGCAACUUCAAUUGCCACAAUUCAUCUCUCAGAAAGUAUAUCCAACGAGUAAAGUCACAUUCUAUGAUAGGAUAGCAGAAAACAAGAAAACCUUUCAGUGUUCUAGUAUAACAAAGCUGACACGAAAGCAAGGACAGCACUCUAAAA